This 444-nucleotide ribosomal RNA is filed under the name uncultured bacterium. RNAcentral's name for it is "partial 16S ribosomal RNA". It matches the Rfam family "Bacterial small subunit ribosomal RNA", at positions 338 to 795 of the family's 1533-position model. The record is from RNAcentral.
CCUACGGGAGGCAGCAGUGGGGAAUAUUGGGCAAUGGAGGCAACUCUUACCCAGCAAUGCCGCGUGAAUGAAGACGGUCCUCGGAGUGUAAAGCUCUUUAAUUGGGGACGAAAAACAUGACGGUACUCAAGGAAUAAGCCUCGGCUAACUACGUGCCAGCAGCCGCGGUAAUACGUAGGGGGCAAGCGUUGUUCGGAAUGACUGGGCGUAAAGGGUGUGUAGGCGGUGUAGCAAGUUAGAAGUGAAAUACCUAGGGCUUAACUCUGGUGCUGCUUCUAAAACUGCUAGACUUGAGUGCAGUAGAGGAAAGUGGAAUUCGUAGUGUAGCGGUGGAAUGCGUAGAUAUUAGGAGGAACAUCAGUGGCGAAGGCGACUUUCUGGACUGUAACUGACGCUGAGGCACGAAAGUGUGGGGAGCAAACAGGAUUAGAUACCCCUGUAGUC